AGAAUCAACGCUGGCGGCGUGCCUAACACAUGCAAGUCGCACGAGAAAGGGGCUUCGGCUCUGAGUAAAGUGGCGCACGGGUGAGUAACACGUGAAUAAUCUACCUCCGAGUGGGGAAUAACUGAGAGAAAUCUUAGCUAAUACCGCAUAACACUUACGAGUCAAAGCAGCAAUGCGCUUGGAGAGGAGUUCGCGGCCGAUUAGUUAGUUGGCGGGGUAAUGGCCCACCAAGACGAUGAUCGGUAUCCGGCCUGAGAGGGCGCACGGACACACUGGAACUGAAACACGGUCCAGACUCCUACGGGAGGCAGCAGUGGGGAAUUUUGCGCAAUGGGGGAAACCCUGACGCAGCAACGCCGCGUGGAGGAUGAAGCCCCUUGGGGUGUAAACUCCUUUCGACCGGGAAAAUAAUGAUGGUACCGGUGGAAGAAGCACCGGUUACUCUGCGCCAGCAGCCGC
Molecule: ribosomal RNA, 459 nt
Filed under: uncultured bacterium
Lineage: Bacteria
Description: SSU rRNA
Rfam family: Bacterial small subunit ribosomal RNA
Source: RNAcentral